Molecule: long non-coding RNA, 1116 nt
Organism: Thrips palmi
Lineage: Eukaryota; Metazoa; Arthropoda; Insecta; Thysanoptera; Thripidae
Exons: 2
Source: RefSeq, a predicted model, not a curated record
UUUUCGUACGGCCGUUUAUUGGCGAUACUCAAUUGUAUCGCCAAAAAAAGGUACCAAAAGUAUUGCCUUUAGAUUUGCAGUGACUGCCUUAUAAAAGCUCUAGAUAAAAACCAAUUGGCAUUGACCUCCUUCCCAACCCGGUUUGUUUGGAUCGUCGAGCGAAUACUUAUUGCCGGAACGCCAAUAGAACCGAAUCUUACACCGCUUGUGGAUUUGUGAGGAUUCCAAAACCUCAAAAAUUGGCUUUUUUUAAACCUGCUGACUUAUAAUGCUGCCAGUGGUUUUCCCGAAACACAAUGCGCUCCAUUGAAUGCUGGGUCGCACAAGGCUCUACGAAGUCGGGUUUGGACAGUUCGGGGUCUCCAAUUUGCUCUAUGCUCAAUUUCACAGUUUUCACUUUUAGGAGAUUCCAUAAUACGAAACUUAAUUACGUUUUUACAUUGGUCUUGCAUGUCCGUGAGAGUGCACGAAAAAGGAAAGUGACUAGUUCGUGGCCUCAAGGUCGAACAAGACGAUACUUUUUAUUGCUUGACUCACAACAAACUUAACGACCGACACCAAUCGUGACAGAAAUUUGACUGCGCAGCGGACACUAGAAUAUAAAGGUUGGGGAGUCACACAUCCGACAUGAAUUUCAACGGUAAAACUUUCGUUGCAGCAGUUUCGAGGAGCUUUCCAAUGGGAACAAUGCGGUUAGCACUUGGAGUCGGAUUCUUGUUGCUAAUGGCAUUUCUGGUAAACGUCGACGCGGGUCAGGAGUCAGAAUGUGUCGGUUCCUCUUCGGUUCUGUGCAAAAGUCCAGCACUUCGUCAGAAAUGCCACAUAGAGCAGCUAUGCAGCUUAAUCAAACAGUGAAAAUGUUCGAAUAAGUGAAAAUAUAAGACUAUCACUUUUAAUAAAUUUCUGACUGAUAUGCAAACCUUUUCAUAAUUCUUUUUUGUUUUCUAUCCAAUUAGCAUAAUUGUCCUGUACUAUUGAUUGCACUUGUAAGUUGAUGUGUGCGCAGAUUUUCUUCGAAUUAUGAUUUUUACAUUUUACAUGUAUUAUUUUGCUAAAGGUGCUUACUUUUUGUUUGACAAAUAAGGAUAAUUAAAGCAAAUGUACUAUCCACGGAAA